RNAcentral lists this unclassified non-coding RNA (307 nucleotides) under plant metagenome. RNAcentral describes it as "partial contains 5.8S ribosomal RNA, internal transcribed spacer 2, and large subunit ribosomal RNA". The stretch from base 1 to 105 matches the Rfam family "5.8S ribosomal RNA", at positions 50 to 154 of the family's 154-position model. The record is from RNAcentral.
GAAAUGCGAUAAGUAAUGUGAAUUGCAGAAUUCAGUGAAUCAUCGAAUCGUUGAACGCACAUUGCGCCCGCCAGCACUCUGGCGGGCAUGCCUGUUCGAGCGUCAUUUCAACCCUCAGAACCCCUUGCGGGAUCUGGCGUUGGGGAUUGGCAUCCAGCCAGCCCCGAAAUCUAGUGGCGGUCCCUCCGCGACCUCCCCUGUGCAGUAGCGAUACCUCGCAGCGGGACAGCGGUCUGACCACGCCGUAAAACCCCCAACUUCUCAAGGUUGACCUCGAAUCAGGUAGGAAUACCCGCUGAACUUAAGC